GCCGCGAUAGCUCAGUUGGUAGAGCGCCUCCAUGGUAAGGAGGAGGUCCCGGGUUCGAAUCCCGGUCGUG
RNAcentral lists this transfer RNA (70 nucleotides) under Acidimicrobiaceae bacterium. Its description in RNAcentral is "tRNA-Thr(ggt)". It matches the Rfam family "tRNA". Rfam says of the family: Transfer RNA (tRNA) molecules are approximately 80 nucleotides in length. Their secondary structure includes four short double-helical elements and three loops (D, anti-codon, and T loops). Lineage: Bacteria; Bacillati; Actinomycetota; Acidimicrobiia; Acidimicrobiales; Acidimicrobiaceae. The record is from RNAcentral.